RNAcentral lists this ribosomal RNA (56 nucleotides) under Sargassum patens. Its description in RNAcentral is "partial 5.8S ribosomal RNA". Lineage: Eukaryota; Phaeophyceae; Fucales; Sargassaceae. The record is from RNAcentral.
CGAAAACUCGCCCACAGCUUUGUGUUCGAUCUCGAUCUCAAGGCGGUGGAGCGGAA